Molecule: ribosomal RNA, 468 nt
Filed under: uncultured bacterium
Lineage: Bacteria
Description: partial 16S ribosomal RNA
Rfam family: Bacterial small subunit ribosomal RNA
Source: RNAcentral
GACGAACGCUGGCGGCGUGCUUAACACAUGCAAGUCGAACGGAAAGGCCCUGCUGGUGGUGCUUGCUCGGCUGACGGGCGAGUGAGUAGCGAGUGAGUAACCUUCCCUUGGGUGAGGGAUAACUGAAAGAGAGGCGGGUUACCGACAGGUCCAUGCUCCUCAUGCGGGGGGGGGGGUAGGAAUUUUCGGCGGUGGGGGAUUGGCGCGCGGCCUAUCAGCUUGUUGGUGGGGUAGUGGCCUACCAAGGCUUCGACGGGUAGCCGGCCUGAGAGGGUGACCGGCCACAGUGGGACUGAGACACGGCCCAGACUCCUACGGGAGGCAGCAGUGGGGAAUAUUGGACAAUGGGCGGAAGCCUGAUGCAGCAACGCCGCGUGCGGGAUGACGGCCUUCGGGUUGUAAACCUCUUUCGCCUGUGACGAAGCGAGAGUGACGGUAACGGGAGAAGAAGCACCGGCUAACUACGUG